GUCCACGCUGUAAACGAUGAAUACUAGGUAUUGAAGGAUUUGACCCCUACAGUGCCGUAGCUAACGCGUUAAGUAUUCCGCCUGGGAAGUACGGUCGCAAGACUAAAACUCAAAGGAAUUGACGGGGGCCCGCACAAGCGGUUGAUUAUGUGGUUUAAUUCGAAGCAACGCGCAAAACCUUACCAAGGCUUGAAAUCCCACGAACCUGCUUUAAACGGCGGGGUGCUCUUCGGAGAAUGUGGUGACAGGCGCUGCAUGGCUGUCGU
RNAcentral lists this ribosomal RNA (266 nucleotides) under uncultured bacterium. Its description in RNAcentral is "partial 16S ribosomal RNA". It matches the Rfam family "Bacterial small subunit ribosomal RNA", at positions 793 to 1055 of the family's 1533-position model. The record is from RNAcentral.